RNAcentral lists this ribosomal RNA (253 nucleotides) under uncultured bacterium. Its description in RNAcentral is "partial 16S ribosomal RNA". It matches the Rfam family "Bacterial small subunit ribosomal RNA", at positions 524 to 776 of the family's 1533-position model. The record is from RNAcentral.
UACGUAGGGUGCAAGCGUUGUCCGGAAUUAUUGGGCGUAAAGAGCUCGUAGGCGGUUUGUCGCGUCGAAUGUGAAAACCCGGGGCUCAACCCCGGGCCUGCAUUCGAUACGGGCAGACUAGAGUUCGGUAGGGGAGUCUGGAAUUCCUGGUGUAGCGGUGAAAUGCGUAGAUAUCAGGAGGAACACCGGUGGUGUAAACGGCUUUCUGGACCGUAACUGACGCUGAGGCACGAAAGCGUGGGUAGCAAACAGG